UUCUUAUUAUAUUAUUAUAAGUAGAACCUGCUCAAUGUAAUAUAAAUAGCCGCAGAAUUUUAACUGUGCUAAGGUAGCAUAAUCACUUACCUUUUAAUUAAAGGCCUGUAUGAACGAUUUAACAUUUAAAUUACUUUUUUAAUAAUAAUAAUAAAAAUUAAACUAAACAUAAAAAUGUGUUUAUAAAUUAAAUAGACGACAAGACCCUAUCGAACUUUACUAAAGUUGAGCUGGGGCAGCUAAUUAAAAAUAAUUUUAAUACAAAUUUUUUAAAAAAUUUCUGGUUAAACCAUUAAAAUAAGUUACCAUAGGGAUAACAGCAUAAUAUCUCUUAAAAGCUCUCAUUAAAAGAGAAGAUUAUGACCUCGAUGUUGAAUUAGAAUUUCUUUAAGACGCAAUAGUAUUAAAAGAAGGUCUGUUCGACCUUUAAAUUCCUACA
RNAcentral lists this ribosomal RNA (439 nucleotides) under Troglohyphantes roquensis. Its description in RNAcentral is "partial large subunit ribosomal RNA". It matches the Rfam family "Bacterial large subunit ribosomal RNA", at positions 1832 to 2600 of the family's 2925-position model. The record is from RNAcentral. Lineage: Eukaryota; Metazoa; Arthropoda; Arachnida; Araneae; Linyphiidae.